This 76-nucleotide transfer RNA is filed under the name Neobittarella massiliensis (ex Bilen et al. 2018). RNAcentral describes it as "tRNA-Gln". It matches the Rfam family "tRNA". From Rfam's summary of the family: Transfer RNA (tRNA) molecules are approximately 80 nucleotides in length. Lineage: Bacteria; Bacillati; Bacillota; Clostridia; Eubacteriales; Oscillospiraceae. RNAcentral also lists the same sequence under 1 other name. The record is from RNAcentral.
UGGGCCGUCGCCAAGGGGUAAGGCAACGGACUUUGACUCCGUCAUUCCGCUGGUUCGAAUCCAGCCGGCCCAGCCA